Oryza barthii is the source of this 179-nucleotide non-coding RNA. The record is from Rfam. Lineage: Eukaryota; Viridiplantae; Streptophyta; Magnoliopsida; Poales; Poaceae.
AAUUAGGUUUCCGUGUCCAACGUUUGACCGUCCGUCUUAUUUGUAAAAAAUAUGAAAAAAUAUGUAAAGUAUUAAUCAUGUUUUAUCAUCUAACAACAAUAAAAAUAUUAAUUAUAAAAAAGUUUUAUAUAAGAUGGAUAGUGAAACGUUGGAUACGAAAGCACAUGAUUUGAUUUUUU